GAACGGGUGAGUAACACGUGGGUGAUCUGCCCUGCACUUUGGGAUAAGCCUGGGAAACUGGGUCUAAUACCGAAUAGGACCACGCGCUUCAUGGUGUGUGGUGGAAAGCUUUUGCGGUGUGGGAUGGGCCCGCGGCCUAUCAGCUUGUUGGUGGGGUAAUGGCCUACCAAGGCGACGACGGGUAGCCGGCCUGAGAGGGUGACCGGCCACACUGGGACUGAGAUACGGCCCAGACUCCUACGGGAGGCAGCAGUGGGGAAUAUUGCACAAUGGGCGCAAGCCUGAUGCAGCGACGCCGCGUGAGGGAUGACGGCCUUCGGGUUGUAAACCUCUUUCAAUAGGGACGAAGCGCAAGUGACGGUACCUAUAGAAGAAGCACCGGCCAACUACGUGCCAGCAGCCGCGGUAAUACGUAGGGUGCGAGCGUUGUCCGGAAUUACUGGGCGUAAAGAGCUCGUAGGUGGUUUGUCGCGUUGUUCGUGAAAACUCACAGCUUAACUGUGGGCGUGCGGGCGAUACGGGCAGACUAGAGUACUGCAGGGGAGACUGGAAUUCCUGGUGUAGCGGUGGAAUGCGCAGAUAUCAGGAGGAACACCGGUGGCGAAGGCGGGUCUCUGGGCAGUAACUGACGCUGAGGAGCGAAAGCGUGGGGAGCGAACAGGAUUAGAUACCCUGGUAGUCCACGCCGUAAACGGUGGGUACUAGGUGUGGGUUCCUUCCUUGGGAUCCGUGCCGUAGCUAACGCAUUAAGUACCCCGCCUGGGGAGUACGGCCGCAAGGCUAAAACUCAAAGGAAUUGACGGGGGCCCGCACAAGCGGCGGAGCAUGUGGAUUAAUUCGAUGCAACGCGAAGAACCUUACCUGGGUUUGA
This 871-nucleotide ribosomal RNA is filed under the name uncultured bacterium. RNAcentral describes it as "bacterial SSU rRNA". It matches the Rfam family "Bacterial small subunit ribosomal RNA", at positions 100 to 984 of the family's 1533-position model. The record is from RNAcentral.